AGUGAACGCUGGCGGUAGGCCUAACACAUGCAAGUCGAACGGCAGCACAGUAAGAGCUUGCUCUUACGGGUGGCGAGUGGCGGACGGGUGAGGAAUACAUCGGAAUCUACUUUUUCGUGGGGGAUAACGUAGGGAAACUUACGCUAAUACCGCAUACGACCUACGGGUGAAAGCAGGGGAUCUUCGGACCUUGCGCGAUUGAAUGAGCCGAUGUCGGAUUAGCUAGUUGGCGGGGUAAAGGCCCACCAAGGCGACGAUCCGUAGCUGGUCUGAGAGGAUGAUCAGCCACACUGGAGCUGAGAGACGGUCCAGACUCCUACGGGAGGCAGGAGUGGGGAGUGUUGGACAAUGGGCGCAAGCCUGACCCAGCCAUGCCGCGUGAGUGAAGAAGGCCGUCGGGUUGUAAAGCCCUUUUGUUGGGAAAGAAAAGCAGCAGGUUAAUACCCCGCUGUUCUGACGGUACCCAAAGAAUAAGCACCGGCUAACUUCGU
Molecule: ribosomal RNA, 491 nt
Filed under: uncultured bacterium
Lineage: Bacteria
Description: partial 16S ribosomal RNA
Rfam family: Bacterial small subunit ribosomal RNA
Source: RNAcentral